UUGGAUGUGAAUUGAUUUAUGUUUGGAUGCAUUACCAUUAAGUGAUUUUUACUAAUUUAUGUUGUUUGGAUAG
RNAcentral lists this microRNA precursor (73 nucleotides) under Medicago truncatula (barrel medic). RNAcentral's name for it is "MIR5272 microRNA precursor family". It matches the Rfam family "MIR5272 microRNA precursor family". Lineage: Eukaryota; Viridiplantae; Streptophyta; Magnoliopsida; Fabales; Fabaceae. The record is from Rfam by way of RNAcentral.